GAUGAACGCUGGCGGCGUGCCUAAUACAUGCAAGUCGAGCGAACGGACGAGAAGCUUGCUUCUCUGAUGUUAGCGGCGGACGGGUGAGUAACACGUGGAUAACCUACCUAUAAGACUGGGAUAACUUCGGGAAACCGUAGCUAAUACCGGAUAAUAUUUUGAACCGCAUGGUUCAAAAGUGAAAGACGGUCUUGCUGUCUCUUAUAGAUGGAUCCGCGCUGCAUUAGCUAGUUGGUAAGGUAACGGCUUACCAAGGAAACGAUGCAUAGCCGACCUGAGAGGGUGAUCGGCCACACUGGAACUGAGACACGGUCCAGACUCCUACGGGAGGCAGCAGUAGGGAAUCUUCCGCAAUGGGCGAAAGCCUGACGGAGCAACGCCGCGUGAGUGAUGAAGGUCUUCGGAUCGUAAAACUCUGUUAUUAGGGAAGAACAUAUGUGUAAGUAACUGUGCACAUCUUGACGGUACCUAAUCAGAAAGCCACGGCUAACUACGUG
RNAcentral lists this ribosomal RNA (497 nucleotides) under uncultured bacterium. Its description in RNAcentral is "partial 16S ribosomal RNA". It matches the Rfam family "Bacterial small subunit ribosomal RNA", at positions 28 to 507 of the family's 1533-position model. The record is from RNAcentral.